Long non-coding RNA from Rattus norvegicus (Norway rat), 2507 nucleotides. The record is from Ensembl. Lineage: Eukaryota; Metazoa; Chordata; Mammalia; Rodentia; Muridae.
UUAAACGUCAUACUUUAUUGAGUUUCUGGCUUUGCCUUUCUUCCAGCAUCACUCCCCGGGAGAUCCAAGUUCCUCUAGUUGUUUUCUUUGUGUAGUUUCUAGCUCUUCCAGUCUUUUGCGAAGGAGAGAGAGUUCUCUUUGAUGCUGUUCUUCCUGCAGAUGAGGGGGAAAGGAGAGUUCCACUCCAGGAACUAUAGCUGAGGACUGGAAGUUAGCAGGAUUGACCGAUGCUGCGGGAGGCAUGUUAGGAACCAAGAUUAGACUUCGAAAUUCAUUAUGUCUUCUCUGUAUGUCCUUUAGUCGUUUCUGAAGCCUUGUAUAUUCUUCAAAUGGAACAUUUUGUCUAUUUAACACCUGGUUUUCUGUCUCUAAUUCUUCUUUCUUUGCCUCCAAGACUUCCACUUUCUCCUGCAGUCUCUUCAAUUUAUUCUCAUGAAGAGAUUUUCUCUUUUUCUGAGCAGUUGCUGCCCGCUGCAGUUUCUCUUUUGCUUGAUUGUACUUUUCCUCUCUGUCUGUGAUACGCUCAUGAAGCUUAUGCUUUUCUUCCAACCACUGUAUCUGCUUUUCCUCCAGUGUCUUUUCAACUUCUAGUUGCACUUUUUCAGCUUGGCUUCUUAAAUGUCGGCACUCUUGCUUUAACCUCUCCACCAUGUCCUUCAGCAUUUGGUUUGAAUUCAGCAAGUCAUUCUCUGACUGCGUCAGUGAGGUCACUUGGAUCUGUAAAUGACUGAUUUGCUGUUUCAGUUCAGAAUUUUCAAGUUUUUCUUUCUCUGCUUUUUCGGUAUUCACAAUUUGUUGUUGAAGUUUUAACCUAAUGCUCUGCAGUUCCCUCCGGGCUGCCUCCUCUGCCGCCUGGGAGGCCCGCAGCUUCUCUUCACACUGAUCCUUUUCCGACUGCCUCCAGACAUCAUGCUCCACUUUCAUUUUCUCUAAGUCUGAUAAUCUGUUCUCAAGUUCUAGCUUUUCAUCUUGCAAGACCACAAGUUUCUGGUAACCUUCUUCCUUGGCAGCUUGUACUUUACGUAUUAAUUCACGAUCUUUUUCCACCAAGAGCACUUUGUGGUGUUCAACAGUCGACUUGAGAAUUUCAUUGUCUGACUGCAGUCCAUCGAGUUCACUUUGGAUCUUAUUCCUCUCUCGCUCUAGCUCACUCUUCGCUCUUGCAGCCUCCAGUUUGACGUCAGUUAUUUCGAGCUUGUUUGCAUGUUUAAGCUCUUUCACCUGACUAGUCAGCGUGCUUAUUUCUCGGUCAGCCUUAUGCAAUUUACUAAUUAAACAGGUGUUUUGUUCGUUGCUUGAUUGUAGCUCUUUUUCUAGGCGUUCAGCCUGUAGUUUAGCUGACUGCUUUUCAGCCUCCAAGGAUCUGAGAGUGGCCUGCAUCUCAGCCAACUGCCUCACUUGUAUUCUUUGGACAUUUUCUACCUGAGCACCAGAAUUCUCUUUCUCAGCCCUUAAUUCUGCUACUUCAGCCUCUAAACUUUUCAAUUUCUGAAGCAAAUGGGUUUUUUCUCGAACAAGUUGCUCCACUCGUUUGCUAUCUCUUGUGGGAUCAACACUAAGCAGCUGGUUAUGUAGUUCCUCUUUAUCCUUCUCCAGUCGUGCAACCUCUGACUUGUAUUUCAUUUUUUCUUCUUCUGCAAUACGAGUAAGCUCUUCCUUCUGGUGUUCAAACUCUGACUUGAGGAAUGUGUGCUCGUAGCGGAGCUUGUUGUACUCAGCUCUGUACCUUUCCACUUCUUCAUCAAGAGUCCGAAAACGUUCUCGCAUUGGAGCUUCUAAUUCUUGUUGUAGUUGGGCUUUUACCAAUUCCAAUUUUUGUGGUGUUAAUAUCUGCAGUUUCAUUGCUUCCAUGUCCUUAACUUUCUCUACUAAUUCCCCCCUUAACUCUUCAAGGAGCAGUUGGAAUUUUUCCUGGUUUGUUUGUUUUUCAUUUAACACACGCUUAAGUUCAUUUUGUGAUUUUACAUAUUUUUCCUGCAACCUUUUGUGUUCAAUUUUCAGAGCCUGAUAAUUAUGUUUAUGAUGUUCACAUCGUACCCUUUCAUCUAUUAACAUACUUUGGAACUCAGGUUCAGGAUUCAGCCUACUGUCUCCUCCGGGUGGAAAUAUGCUAGGAAAUGUGUCCAUAUUUGUAAGGUGGCUGACAUGUAAGGACUAAGCUGUGGCGUUUGUAUUGUGUUAGUUCCUUCCAGGAAGUAUUUCCAACUUCUUUCCUGCUAAGGUAGAAUCCCAGGGGACCAAAUCAUGCCAAAUUUACACACGGUCCUAGCAGCGUGCCCUAGCACAGCAGCCGCGCUCGCCCCCCUGGGUCCCCGGCACAGCUCCGACCACCGCCACCCACACCGCUCUGCUCGCUCAGGCAUUGGGGCCGAGGGGUCCAGACGGUCCCACCGGCUGGGGUGUCGGCCCAGCCCGCCACGUCUGGAGCGGUCCAGGCGGCCGCUCCCGCCGCGGGGGUGGAGACAAGCCAACGAGCCGGGCUGUACCCGAGGGCACCCACUCCUAGG